AACGCGAAGAACCUUACCAGGGCUUGACAUGCAUCUGCAAGCCGGUGAAAGCCGGUCGCUUUCGAAGGUGAUGCACAGGUGGUGCAUGGCUGUCGUCAGCUCGUGUUGUGAAAUGUUGGGUUAAGUCCCGCAACGAGCGCAACCCUCAUGUUCUGUUGCCAGCGAGUAAAGUCGGGAACUCGGAACAAACUGCCUCUGUAAAGAGGAGGAAGGUGGGGAUGACGUCAAGUCAUCAUGCCCCUUACGCCCUGGGCUGCACAUAUGCUACAAUGGCUACUACAAUGGGUUGCAAACCCGCGAGGGCAAGCUAAUCUCAAAAAAGUAGUCUCAGUUCGGAUUGGAGUCUGCAACUCGACUCCAUGAAGCUGGAAUCGCUAGUAACCGCAGGUCAGCAUUACUGCGGUGAAUACGUUCCCGGGCCUUGUACACACCGUAGUAC
RNAcentral lists this ribosomal RNA (439 nucleotides) under uncultured bacterium. Its description in RNAcentral is "bacterial SSU rRNA". It matches the Rfam family "Bacterial small subunit ribosomal RNA", at positions 958 to 1398 of the family's 1533-position model. The record is from RNAcentral.